UUGAAUUAAACAUAACAUUAGGUUUUUAUUAUAUAAGGUGAUCAAACAAUUGUCUACUUGUCACAUAAAAAGGUAGAACACAAUGGCUAAAACUCUUAAGGUUGUUUACACUGUGAUUCUUUUAGUGUCUCUAUUUCUUCUAUUAAUCGCCGCUAGUGCAAAGUAGUGUUGUAAGACACGCCGUGAUUGUAAAACAUAUCCAUGUCCUCCUUCUAAAGUCAAGGAUUGCAUUAAGGGUUAUUGUAAAUGUGUUAGGAAGAAUUAAGUGAUGACAAGAAAUCAAUGGAGCUUGUGGAAUAGAGAUCCUUCGAUGACUUGAAGCAUUAAGCAGUUGUGGUUAACUUACUUCCAAGAAGCAUUAUACAAUGGAAACUAAGAAGAUUUAUACAAUGGAAAAAAUAAGAGAUACAUAUAUCUCUAUCAAAAUAAUUAAAUAUAAAUACACUUUUAACUCUUUAAAAAUUUCAAUUGUUUGAUUUUUGAAUGA
Long non-coding RNA from Cicer arietinum (chickpea), 487 nucleotides. RefSeq lists it as uncharacterized. The record is from RefSeq and is a predicted model, not a curated record. Lineage: Eukaryota; Viridiplantae; Streptophyta; Magnoliopsida; Fabales; Fabaceae.